GAUGAACGCUGGCGGCGUGCCUAAUACAUGCAAGUCGAGCGAACGGACGAGAAGCUUGCUUCUCUGAUGUUAGCGGCGGACGGGUGAGUAACACGUGGAUAACCUACCUAUAAGACUGGGAUAACUUCGGGAAACCGGAGCUAAUACCGGAUAAUAUUUUGAACCGCAUGGUUCAAAAGUGAAAGACGGUCUUGCUGUCACUUAUAGAUGGAUCCGCGCUUCAUUAGCUAUUUGGUAAGGUAACGGCUUACCAAGGCAACGAUGCAUAGCCGACCUGAGAGGGUGAUCGGCCCCACUGGGACUGAGGCCCGGUCCAGACUCCUACGGGAGGCAGCAGUAGGGAAUCUUCCGCAAUAGGGGAAAGCCUGACGGGACAACGGCGCGUGAGUGAUGAAGGUUUUCGGAUCGUAAAACUCUGUUAUUAGGGAAGAACAUAUGUGUAAGUAACUGUGCACAUCUUGACGGUACCUAAUCAGAAAGCCACGGCUAACUACGUG
RNAcentral lists this ribosomal RNA (497 nucleotides) under uncultured bacterium. Its description in RNAcentral is "partial 16S ribosomal RNA". It matches the Rfam family "Bacterial small subunit ribosomal RNA", at positions 28 to 507 of the family's 1533-position model. The record is from RNAcentral.